AGAGUUUGAUCCUGGCUCAGAACGAACGCUGGCGGCGUGCUUAACACAUGCAAGUCGAACGCGAAAAGGGACUUCGGUCCUGAGUAAAGUGGCGCACGGGUGAGUAACGCGUGGAUAAUCUACCCAAUGAUCUGGGAUAACAUCUCGAAAGGGGUGCUAAUACCGGAUAAGACCACGGAGUCUCUGGAUUCUGCGGUAAAAGGUGGGGACCUUCGGGCCUACCGUCAUCGGAUGAGUCCGCGUACCAUUAGCUAGUUGGUGGGGUAAUGGCCUACCAAGGCUACGAUGGUUAGCUGGUCUGAGAGGAUGAUCAGCCACACUGGAACUGAGACACGGUCCAGACUCCUACGGGAGGCAGCAGUGGGGAAUUUUGCGCAAUGGGGGAAACCCUGACGCAGCAACGCCGCGUGAGUGAUGAAGGCUUUCGGGUCGUAAAGCUCUGUCAGAGGGGAAGAAAUGUAUGGAUGCUAAUACCAUCUUUACUUGACGGUACCCUCAAAGGAAGCACCGGCUAACUCCGUGCCAGCMGCCGCGGUAAUA
This 540-nucleotide ribosomal RNA is filed under the name bacterium enrichment culture clone Cont27_3130. Its description in RNAcentral is "bacterial SSU rRNA". It matches the Rfam family "Bacterial small subunit ribosomal RNA", at positions 8 to 525 of the family's 1533-position model. The record is from RNAcentral.